GAUUUCUGGUUUGGCGCACUUGGCCCGUCGCGGUUACGUGUAUGUGUGCCGGUGUGCGCCUACCAUCCAUCUGGAGAAUGUUGGCGCCCUUCACUGGUGUGGUCAGCAAGAUCCAGAUCUUUUACUUUGAAAAAAUUAGAGUGUUUAAAGCAGGCUUGUGCUGUGAAUACAUUAGCAUGGAAUAAUAAUUUAGGACUUUGGUCUUAUUUUGUUGGUUUCUAGGACUAAAGUAAUGAUUGAUAGGGACAGUUGGGGGUGCUAGUAUUCAGCGGCCAGAGGUGAAAUUCUUGGAUUCGCUGAAGACUAACUUAUGCGAAAGCAUU
Molecule: ribosomal RNA, 323 nt
Filed under: Cercomonas sp.
Lineage: Eukaryota; Cercozoa; Cercomonadida; Cercomonadidae
Description: SSU rRNA
Rfam family: Eukaryotic small subunit ribosomal RNA (bases 88-323)
Source: RNAcentral